This 740-nucleotide ribosomal RNA is filed under the name uncultured archaeon. RNAcentral's name for it is "bacterial SSU rRNA". It matches the Rfam family "Archaeal small subunit ribosomal RNA", at positions 1 to 750 of the family's 1478-position model. The record is from RNAcentral.
UUCCGGUUGAUCCUGCCGGACCCGACUGCUAUCAGAGUGAGAUUAAGCCAUGCGAGUUGACGUAGCAAUACGUGGCGCACGGCUCAGUAACACGUAGUCAACAUGCCCAGAGGACGUGGAUAACCUCGGGAAACUGAGUCUAAACCGCGAUAAGUGAGGAUUUCUGGAAUGGUUCCUGACUAAAAUCUAUAUGGCCUCUGGAUUGGACUGCGGCCGAUCUGGCUGUUGGUGAGGUAAUGGCCCACCAAACCUGUAACCGGUACGGGCUCUGAGAGGAGGAGCCCGGAGAUGGGCACUGAGACAAGGGCCCAGGCCCUAUGGGGCGCAGCAGGCGCGAAACCUCUGCAAUAGGCGAAAGCCUGACAGGGUUACUCUGAGUGACUUUCGCUAAGAAAGUCUUUUGGCACCUCUAAAAAGGGUGCAGAAUGAGGGGUGGGCAAGUCUGGUGUCAGCCGCCGCGGUAAUACCAGCACCCCGAGUGGUCGGGACGAUUAUUGGGCCUAAAGCAUCCGUAGCCGGUUCUGCAAGUCCCCCGUUAAAUCCAGCUGCUCAACAGAUGGGCCGCGGAGGAUACUACAGAGCUAGGAGGCAGGAGAGGCAAGCGGUACUCAGUGGGUAGGGGUAAAAUCCGUUGAUCCAUUGAAGACCACCAGUGGCGAAGGCGGCUUGCCAGAAUGCGCUCGACGGUGAGGGAUGAAAGCUGGGGGAGCAAACCGGAUUAGAUACCCGGGUAGUCCUAG